UGCAAUCUAGUUAAUUUGGGGCGUUGUCAUUCAUGGUUUGUUGAAAGAGUAACUGGAAAUCAAGUCGUAUGCAUAUGUUUCAUGUGUGGAGAAGGAACCCUCUAACUAGCCUUUCACCAUUCUAUUUCAUCAAUUUCGUGAGUCUUUAAAGUUUGUUUACAAAGUUUAUGUUUUAAAAAUUCAAUUUCGUCAAAACCAAACCCCUUGCUUUUAAGUCUUGUUUUUAGAGUCAAAACUUGUUUCCUUUAAGUCUUUUGAGUCUUUUAAGUUUUAUUUUUGUCCAAAUCACUUGUUAGGUCUAGAAUUGAGUCUUUUUUAUUGUUAUUUGAUGUUUUGAGUGUUUUAAGUUAGUUUUGAGUUUAUAGAGUCUAGUUUAGUGUUUUUUAUCUUAUAUUUGUUGAUUAGCAUCCCUAGUUAAUCCCCGGUCUAGAACGAUCCCUACUUGCAUCAUUACUACAAUUGUCAUUAAUAGGGUUUAAUUUGUGUGUCAACUUAAUUUUCACAUCAAAUGGGUACUUACAUGAGAUGUAAAUGAGUAAGUGUACUCUCAUUAUCAUUGAUGCUAGCCAACAUCAUAUCAUUGUUAGGUGGGCUUGGUAAUAGUGAGCCUCCUAUACCCUACUAAUAGCUUCCUCCAAAACUCUCGAAUUCUGAUGAGGGAUAUGGAAUUUGCAAAAAUAGUGGGUGGUGCUAUUUGAUUUAAAGACCCAGAUCAAAUAGUUUAAAAUUAAUCAAUUUAUAUUUGUUAUAUAUUUAUUUACCGAUAUAUUUGCAAACGUUAUCCAAAACUUGACAAAGAAAAGUUGAAGGCUUUAGUUUCUGGACUUGGUACCACAAUCCCAUAGAUAGUCUUGAAUGGAUUGUAUAUGUACCUGGGUAGUCUCAUCCUCACAAUCUUCCUAUUGAUAAUGUAUCAUUAGAAGAACAUGUUAGAUAAGUCUAUCAUAAAGAGGACACUUUUAGUGUCAUAAUUCUUCCAUUACAAAUAGUUGUAUGAAGAAAUAAGAGUUGCUUUGAACAACCCUUAGUUAACACAAACACUAGGGCUUGUUUCUUUGUUAAAUGAACAAGGAACUUGAGAAGUAAGCAUGGACACUUUAUGUGCCAUGAUUCUUCACUUACAAAUUGUUGUAUGAAGAAAUGAGAGUUGCCUUGAACAAAUUCUUGGAAGUUUGUAAUCAUGUUUAGAGCAUAAUGGUUAACUGACAAAAAUAGUCCAUCAACAUGGACUUAUGAUGAUUUUGAAUCAUAGUGUUGAAGUGUUAAACCACUUCAGGAGACGAAAACUAGGCAAGGACUUCACCUUUGAGUCCCUAUCCAAAUGGUUCACUAAGUUUAUUGUAAAUUAUAUAGUGAACAAUAACCACACGCCUUCCAAAUCUUUUGAUGUGUAUAACACAAUUGAAAUAAGUUUCAAGAGAGAUAGUGGAAGUUUAAGGGAUCAUGACUAUUGUAGUCAAUGGAGAAGUCAAAUGAAGAAGGCAAAAUAACUCCAAGAGAACAAACUUUCUUUAUGAAAGGAUGGACAUUGGAAGGGUUAUUUGCAAGAAAUGUCUUGCAAGUGUCAAGAACACACCUUUUUAAGGUGUUGUAAAUUGUUCUUGAAAAGUUCAAAACAAUUGGUUUUUACUACUUGAAUGCUUGAUUUGGUAUUAGUAACUAUGUUUUACAAUCGUUGUAAAAGCGUGGCUAAUAAAAAGUAGAAGAUUAAUGAGAGAAGAGAAAGUACUUCACAUUCGGAACGUGAAUAAUAUAAAUCUCUGUGAAUGUAGAUAGUACUUACUUCCUCAUAUGAAUUACCAAAGAAAUUGGGAAAAUAAAGAUUGUCUUUACAUUCCAAUUUGAAUAAGGAACUUAAUUCCGUCACUAUAAGAGAUGGAUGAAUGUUUUGUUUGACAAAACAUUGUUCUUUAUUAAUGAAUGAUUGGAUUAUUGUAAUCUAAUUGAUUGUCUCUAUAGUAGAGAUGAUGUGUAAUGACCCGUCCCCAAUUAUUACAAUUUUAUAAAGUGAAUUUACGAAAAUGCUCUUCAAGGCAAAUGCAUUGACUUUUGUUGAUUGCCUUGUCCAGUUAUGUAAAAUUCAUUUUCUUGGUGUAUCCUCGUAGUACUUGUUGCAACGGAUGCAUGGGCGCAAACAGAUAGUGAUUUGGAGUUAUAACGAAGGAGAUAUUAAUGUUUAAAGUCAGGGGCAUUUUAGUAAAUUGGUUAUUUUCUAGAAAGCUCCAGAUUUUUGGAGCUUAAUCUGGAAUUAAAGAAAGAAGAAAUG
Molecule: long non-coding RNA, 2266 nt
Filed under: Malus domestica (apple)
Lineage: Eukaryota; Viridiplantae; Streptophyta; Magnoliopsida; Rosales; Rosaceae
Description: long non-coding RNA (MDOM_LNC013158)
Source: RNAcentral